GACGAACGCUGGCGGCGUGCUUAACACAUGCAAGUCGAACGGAAAGGCCCUGCUUGCAGGGUACUCGAGUGGCGAACGGGUGAGUAACACGUGGGUGAUCUGCCCUGCACUUCGGGAUAAGCCUGGGAAACUGGGUCUAAUACCGGAUAGGAGCCAUUUUUAGUGUGAUGGUUGGAAAGUUUUUUUCGGUGUAGGAUGAGCUCGCGGCCUAUCAGCUUGUUGGUGGGGUAAUGGCCUACCAAGGCGGCGACGGGUAGCCGGCCUGAGAGGGUGGACGGCCACAUUGGGACUGGGAUACGGCCCAGACUCCUACGGGAGGCAGCAGUGGGGAAUAUUGCACAAUGGGCGCAAGCCUGAUGCAGCGACGCCGCGUGGGGGAUGACGGCCUUCGGGUUGUAAACUCCUUUCGCUAGGGACGAAGCUUUUUGUGACGGUACCUAGAUAAGAAGCACCGGCUAACUACGUG
RNAcentral lists this ribosomal RNA (466 nucleotides) under uncultured bacterium. RNAcentral's name for it is "partial 16S ribosomal RNA". It matches the Rfam family "Bacterial small subunit ribosomal RNA", at positions 28 to 507 of the family's 1533-position model. The record is from RNAcentral.